This 375-nucleotide ribosomal RNA is filed under the name Triticum aestivum (bread wheat). RNAcentral describes it as "partial small subunit ribosomal RNA". The record is from RNAcentral. Lineage: Eukaryota; Viridiplantae; Streptophyta; Magnoliopsida; Poales; Poaceae.
AUGUUUGUUUCAUUCAUUCACCGGAAAAAUCUUAAAGCGGAGCUCCAUUCCAAUCUCGCUCCAAUACGGAUGUCAUGUUUGUUGGUUCAAUGUCGAUACUCCUCACACGGUGUAGUUCUGGUUGAUGGUGUCGAUGUCAAGGCCCUUGAGCUUCACCACGGAUUCAACGUGGCCCUUGAGUGUGUUGUCCCAGGCCCUUCCACUAAGCACAAAUCGGAUGAAGAACUUGAAAAUGUCAAGUGGGAAGUAGAACACAAUGCUGAAGAGCCAGAUAACACCAGCCCAGCCCCACCCGAUUCCCUUGAUCCUUGCAAACUCCCAGUUGGCAUAGACAGCGAUGAGUGUUGCAACCUGCAUCAAGAAGGAAGGCGGUAA